Molecule: ribosomal RNA, 882 nt
Filed under: Didymella glomerata
Lineage: Eukaryota; Fungi; Ascomycota; Dothideomycetes; Pleosporales; Didymellaceae
Description: LSU rRNA
Rfam family: Eukaryotic large subunit ribosomal RNA
Source: RNAcentral
GCGGANGAAANNNAACCAACAGGGAUUGCCCUAGUAACGGCGAGUGAAGCGGCAACAGCUCAAAUUUGAAAUCUGGCGUCUUCGGCGUCCGAGUUGUAAUUUGCAGAGGGCGCUUUGGCAUUGGCAGCGGUCCAAGUUCCUUGGAACAGGACGUCACAGAGGGUGAGAAUCCCGUACGUGGUCGCUAGCCUUUACCGUGUAAAGCCCCUUCGACGAGUCGAGUUGUUUGGGAAUGCAGCUCUAAAUGGGAGGUAAAUUUCUUCUAAAGCUAAAUACUGGCCAGAGACCGAUAGCGCACAAGUAGAGUGAUCGAAAGAUGAAAAGCACUUUGGAAAGAGAGUUAAAAAGCACGUGAAAUUGUUGAAAGGGAAGCGCUUGCAGCCAGACUUGCCUGUAGUUGCUCAUCCGGGUUUUUACCCGGUGCACUCUUCUAUAGGCAGGCCAGCAUCAGUUUGGGCGGUUGGAUAAAGGUCUCUGUCAUGUACCUCUCUUCGGGGAGAACUUAUAGGGGAGACGACAUGCAACCAGCCUGGACUGAGGUCCGCGCAUCUGCUAGGAUGCUGGCGUAAUGGCUGUAAGCGGCCCGUCUUGAAACACGGACCAAGGAGUCUAACAUCUAUGCGAGUGUUUGGGUGUCAAGCCCGAGCGCGUAAUGAAAGUGAACGGAGGUGGGAACCUUUCGGGGUGCACCAUCGACCGAUCCUGAUGUCUUCGGAUGGAUUUGAGUAAGAGCAUAGCUGUUGGGACCCGAAAGAUGGUGAACUAUGCUUGAAUAGGGUGAAGCCAGAGGAAACUCUGGUGGAGGCUCGCAGCGGUUCUGACGUGCAAAUCGAUCGUCAAAUUUGGGCAUAGGGGCGAAAGACUAAUCGAACUAUCUAGUAG